GCUAAUAAUAGAUGAGCACCAAGCUUUUGGGCCUUCAAUGAUCAUCAUACUAAUGAAUCCAUUAUCACCCAACUUAAUGGGAGGCUAUGAUUUAGUUAUCAUAUAACUAUCUCAUUUAAGAGACCUAAUAAUUUAAAAAAAUUAAUUUAUAAAUUAAGAGAAGAGAAGAGAAGAGAUUAACCAGUAAACCACAAUCCUUCCACUGACUUCACCAAGUCAUUGAAUUGGAUUAAGGUCAUGCUGGUUGAAUUGGCACCUAGAUUAGUCACACUGAUCAACCUUAAUGGCAUGAGUCAACUCGAAUCACUUAACGAUCUAAUCAAAAUAUAAUCUACCAAAUUGGCCAAGUAAGUG
This 354-nucleotide long non-coding RNA is filed under the name Elaeis guineensis (African oil palm). RNAcentral's name for it is "long non-coding RNA (EGUI_LNC041501)". The record is from RNAcentral. Lineage: Eukaryota; Viridiplantae; Streptophyta; Magnoliopsida; Arecales; Arecaceae.